GGAGAGAUGGCUUAUUAGUUAAGAGCACUGGCUGCUCUUCCGGAGGACCUGGGUUCAAUUCCCAGCACUCACCU
This is a non-coding RNA of Cricetulus griseus (Chinese hamster), 74 nucleotides long. The record is from Rfam. Lineage: Eukaryota; Metazoa; Chordata; Mammalia; Rodentia; Cricetidae.